This is a long non-coding RNA of Zingiber officinale, 1765 nucleotides long. RefSeq lists it as uncharacterized. NCBI's taxonomy places the organism in Eukaryota, Viridiplantae, Streptophyta, Magnoliopsida, Zingiberales, Zingiberaceae. The record is from RefSeq and is a predicted model, not a curated record. The transcript is spliced from 3 exons.
UUAAGACCUGCAGACGGAGCCAGAAGAAGUUACCAAUGGGACAAUAUAAUCACAGAAAGCAUGAAUGAAACUUCUGUACAUCCCUCUUUAUAGUUUCCAAAGCAGCCAGUAAGUACGACUACCUACUCGGCGUAAGGUUCAUCAAUAUUGGUGUUCCUUCACUCUUCAUGCCCUGCAAAUCUGGGCAGCAUCAGUGGAGUCAUGGAGAACCGUCACUGAAUGUUAUGCUGAAACAAGGAACGAGGAGUAAGUACUUCAGACCUUGCUCUAGGGCAGGAGAAAGAACCAGCCCAACGCCAAUUCCAGCCCAAUCCGGCCCAACAUUGCAUUAGUCCGCCACUGAAACUACCAAACGACUUUGGUGAUCGUGACGAGGCGUGGGCUUCUUUUACAAACCAAUUACCGGGAGGGUAAAGCUCGGGUAGAUUGAAAAGAAUUAGCCAGGCUUCCGUAGGUAGCUGUUAUAGUUCCAAAGUCUGCCCUUUUCUCGUUUGUAUUUGUCCCUCCAACUCCUCCUCCGUCACCGCCGCCGCCGCCGCCGCCCCCGCCCCCGCCGCCGCCGCUUCAUCGCAGUAUGUACCAUGAGAUGAAGAUCAAAUGGGAUGAAAAAUGCGCAUUGAACUUCAAUUAUUGGAUGGGUGUUCUGACCUAAUAUGAGAAACUGAGACACCUGAUUCAGAGUGGGACGGCUCUUUUAUGCAGCGGAUUUUGAGUAUACCUAGAGUUCUUCCGCUGUUGUUGUCUCUACCAAAUAAGUAGAAGGUUACAUCAGAUGAUUCAGUGAACUAUGUUUUCUAUCUUGAUUACUGUUUUCAUUUUAGAAGCAUAACCUCUUGAACUUAUUUAUUUCUAAGAUUAUGCCAAAUUGUUGACACUUUCUCAAUGCCCAAGGCAAAUAUGGAGAGAGGAAGACAUGGACCAGAGGAGCAGCUCCGGUCCUUUUACAGAGGAGGCUCGAGGCGGAAAAAAUAAAGAUCCAAAAUAAAUUUGGGCCCCAACUAUUCAAGGUCCUAAUUACAUGCCUAAAAAGAUAAAAGUAAAAGACAAUAUCAAAAGAUUCUGAAAUAUGAAUUUGGACUAAACUAUUCAAGGGCUCAAUUACAUGCCUAUGAUACAUAAUACUAAAAAAAAAAUUGAGUUCUCUCAAAAUAUGGGCCCAGGGUCAUCGUCCAGUGUCGUCCUCCUCUAGGGUCGGCCCGGCCCUGCAGAGGAGACCUCUUUGGGCUGUGGAAAUUGGUGGCCUCCGCCAAUGGGGAGUAUUAUUGAAGAAAAUAUCUUAACUCUAGGAAAGAAACUUUGAUACCAUGGAAAAUUUGGAUAAGAAAUAUUGUAUUGCCUUGAGAUAAUAAAUUUAGUACAAAUUCCUAAACCUAGAAGUAAUAAUAGGACACUAAACCCACUACACAUAAAUGCCUAAUAAUUAUAACACCAUCAACAAUAUAACUCAGAUGAUCAUGUUACCUUUUUUUGUCUUCCAUGUAUCACGAAAGCUCAAUUAACUGAUAAUCUAUCUUUUUCUUGUUCAAGUUAUCUGUGUCCUCUUGGAGUUACACCAUGCCGUGCCAUGCUUGCUAACUUGUAAUCUUCCAAUUGAUUCAUUUGAUAGUACAAAUUUUCUCUUACCUAUGGAUUUCUUGAAUCCUGAGGGUUAUAUUACCAUAGUCGAAAAUUAUCUGAAUUAACAAUCUCUGGACAUUGGCGUCCUAAUACAUGUGUUUCACAAUGUUAAGAGAUGGUUGGUUCUUUGGUUAAAUCAGCGAUUCUU